GACCUCGCACAGGCUGACACGCCAGCUCCGCUCCGGGGCGCACCCUUCCGCGCCGGGAAAUGUGGAGCCGCGGGCUUGCGUGGGGGCUGGGGUCUAACCUGCUCCCUAGCUGGCGGUGGAGCUGGCUGGCUCAUGUUGGCCGCGGAGAGUUCCACUAGCAAAGCACGCUCCAGGGAAAGUUAGUCGGUUUGGCCACUUAAGGCCUGGACCGAGGACACUGCUGAAGAUCACACUCCUAGGUCUAAGUAGCUCUCCUGUCUUAUUAAGGGACCUUGUCUGAAAAUCAUGGAGGAGGAAACCAAGAGACUGUUACCACCCUACUCCCAACUACCUUGAUAAGACUGAAAUGUUUUUAUCAUUUGUCUACUUUCUGGAGAGAUUUCAAGGAAUCAAUGCAACGGAAGUGGAGUAAGGGCAGAGGGCGGAGAUGGAGCUCAACUAGUUCAUGGUCUCAACUUACUGAACCAAGUCCUUGUAAAAGAAACCAAACCUUUUAAUGUCACGGGCCAUGUCUGGCACAGACCUGAAAGCUAUCUGCAAGUAGAGUAUUCCCAUGAGACCUUUCAUAAGCUGAAGUGGCGUAAAGCAGAGAUCCUCAGCUUUCCCAAAGUUCGCAUCAGUACCUAUUUUCAGUAACUGAAAGAAAUCUGGAGAAUUUUUGCUUUUAUGGAAAAAGUCAUUACCGUACUAAUAAUGUAGGUCUUUCGUAUAAGUGAAAUGUUGCAUAACAUGAAACUUUCAGAAAGUGGGGGAUAACCAUCUCCCCAAAUAUUGUACCUCACCUCCCUAAAGCAAAUAGGAAAAAAAACAAAAAACCUGCAAGUUUCCAAAAAUAAAAAGGCCUGCUAGUCACUGAAAUCCAGCAGAUGACAGAAACUGCUGUUUACCGCUGCAACGCUUGAAGGACAUAGGAACAAACUUUCUGAAAUUGACGAGCAGAGGAAAGGGAGAAAUGAGAUAUAAAAUCUCCCUUUUGACCAGAAACAAUUUCUUUCACACUUAUGAGACAAGAGCCAAUUCUCCAGGUCUGCACAGAAGAAAACAUCUAUACCUAGAAAAGAAAGGGUUAAGAACCAAGAUAUCAAAC
Molecule: long non-coding RNA, 1087 nt
Organism: Rhinolophus ferrumequinum (greater horseshoe bat)
Lineage: Eukaryota; Metazoa; Chordata; Mammalia; Chiroptera; Rhinolophidae
Exons: 3
Source: RefSeq, a predicted model, not a curated record